UGCGUAGGUGGCGGGGUAAGUCGGAUGUGAAAGCUCGGAGCUCAACUCCGAAAUGGCAUUGGAAACUACCUUGCUCGAGGGUUGGAGGGGGGACUGGAAUUCUCGGUGUAGCAGUGAAAUGCGUAGAUAUCGAGAGGAACACCAGUGGCGAAGGCGGGUCCCUGGACAACUCCUGACACUGAGGCACGAAAGCUAGGGGAGCAAACA
This 207-nucleotide ribosomal RNA is filed under the name uncultured bacterium. RNAcentral describes it as "partial 16S ribosomal RNA". It matches the Rfam family "Bacterial small subunit ribosomal RNA", at positions 568 to 774 of the family's 1533-position model. The record is from RNAcentral.